RNAcentral lists this non-coding RNA (184 nucleotides) under Sphaerospermopsis sp. SIO1G1. Its description in RNAcentral is "6S RNA". It matches the Rfam family "6S / SsrS RNA". From Rfam's summary of the family: E. coli 6S RNA was the first non coding RNA to be sequenced, but its function was unknown until recently. It consists of 184 nucleotides that fold into an extended hairpin structure with a large single-stranded internal bulge. The record is from RNAcentral. Lineage: Bacteria; Bacillati; Cyanobacteriota; Cyanophyceae; Nostocales; Aphanizomenonaceae. RNAcentral also lists the same sequence under 1 other name.
GUUGCACUACGACGUUGGUGACUGCCCCCAAGUUUUUUGAUCUAUGUCUUUAAAAAUAAGGGAAUUAAAUUGUUCUUGUGGCAGUAAACCGAGCUUGUACUCGGAAACUUUAAACAAACGACAUCAGUUCCCACCUGGUUAACCCAGGUCAUAAACUUAGGUAAGACGGCGUUGUGGUGAACUC